Molecule: long non-coding RNA, 228 nt
Filed under: Solanum tuberosum (potato)
Lineage: Eukaryota; Viridiplantae; Streptophyta; Magnoliopsida; Solanales; Solanaceae
Description: long non-coding RNA (STUB_LNC011813)
Source: RNAcentral
UGGAGGAAUGGUGGUAAUAUGAGUAAUCAGAUGAGCCUACAGAAUGGAAAAGAGAUGCAGGAAAAUGAGUAGGAUCAUUGGUCAUAGCAAAAGGAAAAAUUGUCUCAUGAAAGAUAACAUCCCUGGAAAUAUGAAUUUUCUUAGUGGUUAGAUUUAGCACUUUAUAUCCCUUUGUACACGAUGGAUAUCCAAUAAAGAUAUGUGGAACAGCUUUGGGAUCAAACUUGG